UCCGAGUUGUCCCCGGCAGUCUCCUUAGAGUCCCCGACUUUACUCGCUGGCAACUAAUGGCAGGGGUUGCGCUCGUUGCGGCACUUAAGCCAACACCUCACGGCACGAGCUGACGACAGCCAUGCAGCACCUGUGUUCCGAUUCCCUUUCGGGCACACCCGCCUUUCAGCAGGCUCUCGGACAUGUCAAGGGUAGGUAAGGUUUUUCGCGUUGCAUCGAAUUAAUCCACAUAAUCCACCGCUUGUGCGGGUCCCCGUCAAUUCCUUUGAGUUUUAACCUUGCGGCCGUACUCCCCAGGCGGGGCACUUACUGCGUUAGCGACGGCACCGGGAGGGUCGCUCCCCCCGACGCCUAGUGCCCAUCGUUUACGGCGUGGACUAC
RNAcentral lists this unclassified non-coding RNA (381 nucleotides) under uncultured bacterium. Its description in RNAcentral is "contains 16S-23S intergenic spacer region". The record is from RNAcentral.